AACGAACGCUGGCGGCAUGCCUAACACAUGCAAGUCGAACGAGACCUUCGGGUCUAGUGGCGCACGGGUGCGUACCGCGUGGGAACCUGCCCUUAGGUUCGCAAUAACUCCCCGAAAGGGGUGCUAAUACCGGAUAAUCUCUUCGGGCCAAAGAUUUAUCGCCUUUGGAUGGGCCCGGGUUAGAUUCGCUAGUUGGUAGGGUAAAAGCCUACCAAGGCGGCGAUGCAUAGCUGGUCGGAGAGGAUGACCCGCCACGCUGGGACUGAGACACGGCCCAGAAUCGGACGGGAGGGAGCAGUGGGGAAUAUUGGACAAGGGGCGAAAGUCUAACCCAGCAAUGCCGCGUGAGUGAUGAAGGGCUUAGGGUUGUAAAGCUCUUUUACCCGGGAUGAUAAUGACAGUACCGGGAGAAUAAGCUCCGGCUAACUACGUG
Molecule: ribosomal RNA, 433 nt
Filed under: uncultured bacterium
Lineage: Bacteria
Description: partial 16S ribosomal RNA
Rfam family: Bacterial small subunit ribosomal RNA
Source: RNAcentral